This is a non-coding RNA of Trematomus bernacchii (emerald rockcod), 584 nucleotides long. NCBI's taxonomy places the organism in Eukaryota, Metazoa, Chordata, Actinopteri, Perciformes, Nototheniidae. The record is from the annotation of a RefSeq genome assembly.
GAAGUGAAAUACAGAUCUAAGAGGAGACAGAGAGAUUCAGGGAGGAGCUAAGAUGUUCCUGAACUAUAGAAGAGAGAGGAACUUCCAUAUUCACCAGAGUUCAACACAGACCAUCAUCAUCACCUUCAUUCAACAUGCUCUCCCUGCAGAACUCAGCAUUUUCUCUGAUAUUGUUUGCAAUCUUAUCAGGCGUCAGCUGUGAAGAUCUGUCUCCAGUCAAAACAGAAGAGUUCAGUCCAGAAGGCAGCACUGUUACUCUGUCCUACAGAUACUCCAAAGAAGCAACUGGUAAUGAUUAUUUCUUCUGGUAUCGACAAUAUCCAGGAAAACCACCAGAGUUCAUCUUCUCUCAUUUAGGAACUGGAGACAUUAUGUUGAAUCCAGUUUCUGGACUGUCUGCUGAAGUGAGUGAGGAUAAAACCCAGAUCUAUCUGAGCAUCUCCUCUGCUGCAGUGACAGACUCUGCUGUGUACUACUGUGCUGUUGAGGAAGAGGUUGUUAUUUUGGUACCACAGGGCCAGCUGGUUCACUUCCUUCCUGUAGUUAGUCUCAUCGUUGUGGCUGAUGAGACUAACUACAGUUGA